RNAcentral lists this unclassified non-coding RNA (335 nucleotides) under soil metagenome. RNAcentral describes it as "partial contains 5.8S ribosomal RNA, internal transcribed spacer 2, and large subunit ribosomal RNA". The stretch from base 1 to 120 matches the Rfam family "5.8S ribosomal RNA", at positions 35 to 154 of the family's 154-position model. The record is from RNAcentral.
GAUGAAGAACGCAGCGAAAUGCGAUAAGUAAUGUGAAUUGCAGAAUUCAGUGAAUCAUCGAAUCUUUGAACGCACAUUGCGCUCGCCAGUAUUCUGGUGGGCAUGCCUGUUCGAGCGUCAUUUCAACCAUCAAGCCCCCGGCUUGUGUUGGGGACCUGCGGCUGCCGCAGGCCCUGAAAACCAGUGGCGGGCUCGCUAGUCACUCCGAGCGUAGUAGUUACAUCUCGCUCAGGGCGUGCUGCGGGUUCCGGCCGUUAAAAGCCUUAUUUACCCAAGGUUGACCUCGGAUCAGGUAGGAAGACCCGCUGAACUUAAGCAUAUCAAUAAGCGGAGGA